This 483-nucleotide ribosomal RNA is filed under the name uncultured bacterium. RNAcentral describes it as "bacterial SSU rRNA". It matches the Rfam family "Bacterial small subunit ribosomal RNA", at positions 26 to 518 of the family's 1533-position model. The record is from RNAcentral.
AGGAUGAACGCUGGCGGCGUGCUUAACACAUGCAAGUCGAACGAAGCAACUAUCUUGCUUGCAAGAGAGUUGACUUAGUGGCGGACGGGUGAGUAACGCGUGGGUAACCUGCCUCAUACGGGGGGAUAACAGUUGGAAACGACUGCUAAGACCGCAUAACCCGCUAGUGUCGCAUGACACGGACGGAAAAUAUUUAUAGGUAUGAGAUGGGCCCGCGUCUGAUUAGCUAGUUGGUAAGGUAACGGCUUACCAAGGCGACGAUCAGUAGCCGACUUGAGAGAGUGAUCGGCCACAUUGGGACUGAGACACGGCCCAAACUCCUACGGGAGGCAGCAGUGGGGAAUAUUGGACAAUGGGGGAAACCCUGAUCCAGCGACGCCCGCGUGAGUGAAGAAGUAUUUCGGUAUGUAAAGCUCUAUCAGCAGGGAAGAUAAUGACAGUACCUGACUAAGAAGCCCCGGCUAACUACGUGCCAGCAGCUGC